Molecule: long non-coding RNA, 3377 nt
Organism: Canis lupus familiaris (dog)
Lineage: Eukaryota; Metazoa; Chordata; Mammalia; Carnivora; Canidae
Exons: 4
Source: RefSeq, a predicted model, not a curated record
UGAAAUGCAGUGAGGAGGGGACAGAGGAGGAGCAUCUCAGGGGCCUGGGGGACUCAUCCCAGGGAAGCUGAGUCACAGGGCAAGUGUUCCUGGGAAAUUAGCCCAGCCCCAGAGUAGACUCCGUGAGAUGGCAUGGCCAGGAUUUUGGGAAAGCUGAGUACAGAGAGGAUAUUCUCCAAGAGAAGGAGCAAUGUCUUGGGUUAACCUGAGGACACAAGGCAGGGUAGAGCAGCAAGGAAGGACCAACAGCCUGAGGGGUCAGGGCCUGAGCUUGGCCCUUGAGUGAGUGCCCUGGAGCAGCAGCCGCCUGCAGAGUGAAAUCAGGCUGAGGUCCCCGUGGCCUGUCGCUGCGGCUCUGGCUCCCGUGUCCCUCGCUCUGUAGGCAAACCGGGCAUUCUAGCCAGCUGGCGUGCUCUCUAGGGGAUGGGGGCCCUCAGAGGGCUGCGAUGUCCAAGCCCAGUCUUUGAGGAAGAGCCGGCCAGCCUCCGCAUGCAUUUUCCCAGCCUGGUCCUCUGCUGUGCGGCCAUCCUGUAAGGAAGGCCGCCACUCCCAUCCUAGCGGACCUUGACUUUAGGUUGCCAUCUGCUAUUACAAACAACACACCCGUGGGCCUGUCUGCGGGAUAAAUUCCUAGGAGAACAGCCAGGUGGGACGACAAGGUAAUCUUGUAACGUAUCACCGACCAGCCCUGCAUCAUUGUCCUUCCAAUCCUCACCCCCCACCCCACCCUCCCCCAUAUUAGCACAUUUUGGUCUCUCCCAAACUGACAGGGGAAACCUGGCAUUUAGAGCAGUUUUAGUUUCCAUUUCUCUUAAUAGGAGAUCAUUGAACACCUUUUCUCUGUUUAAGCGCCAGUGGUGUUUUGUGCGGGCUUUCCAUCCCUCUCUGCAAGGGCUUUUCUCCUUUAAACUGCUUACCGUUGGGUGAAAGCCUGAAGCAUGGUCACCUUUAAACUGGUUCAUUAGAAUUCUGUUUUCCCAAGGACCAGAUGAAGGCCUCAAAGAAGAUUUUAGUUCGUUGGGUUUCUUAACGCAGAAACCGGGACGCUGGGCAGUGAGAACUGCAAGUCCUAUUCUUCUAGCUCAUGCCGGCUUUUCUCAUCCUGGGGCGACGAGCUGGGCCCCUGUGAGCCUCCCAGGGAGGCCGGGCAGCUACGCGGGCCUCACUCAGCGUCUCUGCGCUUCGGUCCAGUGACCCACGGCAAGGGGAGCUGCCUGCAAGCUGCUGAUGGUUACGGUGCCCUGUGGUCGAGGAGGCCGGGCUUGGGGCAGGGCCGGGGGGCAGCGAUGCCACCCUGAGCUCUGGGCUCUGAGCAUCUGCACACGGGAUCCUCUGGGACUGUUCUAUGCUCCCGUGGCCCCUGUUGGAGGGGGUUUGCAGACUUGCCAUGGGGAGAAGGAGAGGGUCUAGCUACUGGUUCCUCCUUCUGGCCCCUGCCUGCUUCCCCCCACCAAAUGGCAGCUUUGGAGCAUCCCCAUUUCACACAGAAGAAAAUCAAGACACAGAGAGUUUGAUGAAGUUUUGCAAGGUCACACAGCCAGGAAGACACUUAUGACAUCUACAUAUUUCUAAGAGAGAAAAGCUUCAUAUUAUAUUAUUGAUGAAAGAGAAAAAAAACCUGCUGCCAUCUCGUCUUAUAGUCUUGGAGAUGUGGUAUCUUCAGCCCCAUUUCAGGCCCAGGUGACCAGGACACUGUCACCGAGAAAAAAGGCAACUCACAGGAUUGGAGAAAAUAUUUACAAAUUAAGGGAUUCACAUCCGGAAUAUAUAAAGAGCUCCUAAAAUUCAACAACAACAAAGCAAACAACUCAAUUCAAAAAUAAUGAUAGAUGUGAACAGACAUUUCUCCAAGGAAGACACAUAAAUGGCCACCAGGCACACGAAAAGACGCUCGACAUCAAUAAUCAUCAGGGAAAUGCAAAUCAAAACCACAGUGGAAUACCACUUCACACCCAUUUGGUAACUAUUUUCAAAAAAGCAGAAAAUGAGAAGUGUUGACAAGGAUGUGGAGAAAUUGAAACCCUUAGCAUUGUUGGUGGGAAUGUAAAAUGGUGUAGUCUCUAUGGAAAUCAGUGAUAGAGCUAUCAUAUGACCCAGCAGUUUCACUUCUGGGUAUAUACACAAAAGAGCUGCAUUAAAGGACUGGAAUAGAGAUCUGUACGCCAAUGUGCGUGGCAGCAUUAUUCACAACAGCCAAAGUGGAAACAACUCAAAUGUCCACUGGCAGAUGAAUAAAUAAACAAAGGUGCUUUAUAUCUACAAUAAGGAUAUUAAUCUGCCUUAAGGAGAAAUGAAGUUCUGACACAUGCUACAACAUAGACAAAGACAUUUAUGCUAAGUGAAGUAAGAUAGAUCAAAAGGGACAACUAUGAUUCCAUUUAUGAGAUACCUGGAACAGACAAAUUCAUAGAGACAGAAUGCUGAGUAGUGGUUGCCAUGGGCUGGGGGAGGGGAAAGGGAGGGGAAGUUAGUGUUUAAUGGGCACAAAGUUUCCACUGGGGAUGAUGAGAAAUUUCUGGAGAUGUAUGGUGAUGAUGGUUGCGCAACAGCACGAAUGUACUUAACACCACUGACCUAUCAACUCAAACAUGGCUAAUACAGUAAAUUUUGUUAUGUGUAUUUUACCACAAUGACAACAUUUUUAAAAAAUUUUUUUAUUUAUUUAUGAUAGUCAUCAGAGAGAGAGAGAGAGGCAGAGACACAGGCAGAGGAAGAAGCAGGCUCCACGCACCGGGAGCCCGACGUGGGAUUCGAUCCCGGGUCUCCAGGAUCACGCCCUGGGCCAAAGGCAGGCACCAAACCACUGCGCCACCCAGGGAUCCCACAAUGACAACAUUUUAAUGGAAGGAGCAUCAACUAUCUCCCAGUGCAAACCCUUCAUUUUGCAGAAAAAUAAACUGAGACUUGAAGAGGUACAAAAGCCAAGGGGGAAAAAAAAGAGCCAUCAUUCAUUUCAAAUCCUCAGGUGUUCUUGAAUUUAGAGGAUAUAAAGUAAAACCCCCUUUAGGCAACCUUCCUUAACCACAUCCCCUUCUCCUGGGGGGUAACCACAAUGAAAUCACUUGAUGUGAAUUCUUCUAGAUCUUCUUUUGUAGGUUGACAGAAAUGGAACCAUUUUGUCCUAUUUUGCAACUUGCCCUUUACACUUAAUACUAGUUCUUGCAGAUCUUUCCAUGUCAGUUCCUGUGAGCUACCCCAUUCUUUCAAACUGUUGCGCCGUAUGUCAUAUACACGCACAUCACAGCUAAACGUGGAGCUGUUGGUGAGCACUCUGGUUGGCUUUACGAUUUGGCUAUUAUAGACAAUUAAGUGUGAAUUCCUCUUUGUACAGACAUACAAGUAUUUCUUUACUUAUUAAAGUUACAAGCAUACAUGAA